Molecule: ribosomal RNA, 624 nt
Filed under: Triticum aestivum (bread wheat)
Lineage: Eukaryota; Viridiplantae; Streptophyta; Magnoliopsida; Poales; Poaceae
Description: partial small subunit ribosomal RNA
Source: RNAcentral
AUGGCGGAGGAACCGUCCACCAAGCAUCAUCAUGGCGAGCUGUUGGACAAGAGCAACAACCUCGUCGAUGUUCACGUCCCCAGCGAGAAGCGCGAGUACAUGAGAACCCUCAUAGGGGUUGAGCUCCACCGCAAAGAGACGCUGGAGAUCGUCUGCACCAGCGAACCAGACAAGGCUGAUGAGGUGAUGAGCAGGCUCAGGAUGAAGGGCGGUGGCUUGUAUCUGAGCUUCAUCGGAGUUGAUGUGGAGCCCAAGCGCCUCAGAGACUUCCUGCAGGAGGAGAAAUUGUACACAUUUGUCGGUUUCAGCAUUGGAGGUGACAAGCGGAUGCUGAACAAGUCUGGUUUGGAGAUCAAUCCAAACAACUUCAUUGACAUGCAACGCAAGUGGAAAGAUCCAAAGACCAGCAAAUACUACGACUCCUUGGCCGAUGUUGCAGGCAGCGUAAUCCACCCAUUCCAUAGCAGCAUGAAGAAGAAGAUGGACAAGGGAGACCACAAACUGUGGGGGACCAGCCUGCUACCAGACAACCUCAUCACGUACGCAGGAAUAGAUACAUACGCCACGUACAAGUCAUGGAAGACAAUCGACAACAUCGUGACAGGUUGGGAUAUUUCAAAAGAG